GAGAGAGAAACACCACAAGAGCAAACCAGAGGAGAGAGAGCCAUGGCCGCCACCCUCAGCACCUUCCUCUCCAACCCCCUCUCCACCAAGCCCCGCCUCCCCCUCCUCUCCGUCAAACCCCGUCUCUCCAUCUUCUGUUCCUCCAACCCAACACCCCAAACCAACCAAAACCAAGACCCCACCUCCUCUCUCAAGACCCUCUCCGCCGCGCUCGCCCUCUCCUCCAUCCUCCUCUCCUCCGCUGCUGCCCCACCCCCCGCCGCCGCCGACAUCGCCGGUCUCACCCCAUGCAAGGAGUCCAAAGCCUUCGCGAAACGUGAAAAGCAAUCUAUCAAGAAGCUAGAGUCCUCCCUCAAACAAUAUGCCCCCGACUCGGCCCCCGCACUCGCCAUCAAGGCCACCAUUGAGAAGACCAAGAAGCGGUUCGAGAACUACGGCAAAUUCGGCCUCCUCUGCGGGACUGACGGGCUCCCCCACCUUAUUGUAAGCGGCGAUCAGCGCCACUGGGGUGAGUUCAUCACCCCAGGAUUGCUCUUCCUCUACAUUGCUGGAUGGAUCGGGUGGGUCGGACGGAGCUACCUUAUCGCUAUCCGAGGGGACAAGAAGCCUACCAUGAAGGAGAUUAUCAUUGAUGUGCCGCUUGCUUCAGGACUAAUUUUCCGAGGCUUUAUCUGGCCUGUUGCUGCUUACCGAGAGUUGAUUAAUGGCGACCUUAUCGCCAAAGAUGGUGAUGUAACUGCCUAGUGAUCAAUGGCACAAUCAGAAUGGUACAAGACUGGGCUAGAAGCAGCAAAUCCUCAUUACUGCACUUGCUGGAGGAGAUGGUUGUGAGGACUCUUGUUUUGUAUCUAAGAUUUGCAGUUGUAGUUGUACUUUGUGGUUG
Molecule: unclassified non-coding RNA, 883 nt
Filed under: Hevea brasiliensis (rubber tree)
Lineage: Eukaryota; Viridiplantae; Streptophyta; Magnoliopsida; Malpighiales; Euphorbiaceae
Source: RNAcentral